AUUAUAAGAAAAAGAGUAUGUGUUCUAAGAGUAUCAAAUAAUCUUUUCACAGGAUAUCAACUUAAAAACUUACAUGUGAUUAGAUAUAUGAUUUUAGGAUAGAUAAUUUAGUUAUCUCUUACGAGUUACCCUAAAAUAUUUAGAGGAGAAUUGGGAUGGAUAUGUACUUUUAUAGAUAAUGAAAGGGAAUCCCCAUCUGCAUGGGAAGAUAAGUUCACAUGCAAAAUUCAUAUAUAAUUUCAAUAUAGUAAGGAGGCAACAGGCAAGAGUACAAAUUAAGUCCAUGGACAAUGAGUUUUCAGUGAGUGGUA
RNAcentral lists this unclassified non-coding RNA (311 nucleotides) under Hevea brasiliensis (rubber tree). Lineage: Eukaryota; Viridiplantae; Streptophyta; Magnoliopsida; Malpighiales; Euphorbiaceae. The record is from RNAcentral.